GAUGAAGAACGUAGCGAAAUGCGAUAAGUAAUGUGAAUUGCAGAAUUCAGUGAAUCAUCGAAUCUUUGAACGCACAUUGCGCCCGCCAGUAUUCUGGCGGGCAUGCCUGUUCGAGCGUCAUUACAACCCUCAGGCCCCCGGGCCUGGCGUUGGGGAUCGGCGGAAGCCCCCUGCGGGCACAACGCCGUCCCCCAAAUACAGUGGCGGUCCCGCCGCAGCUUCCAUUGCGUAGUAGCUAACACCUCGCAACUGGAGAGCGGCGCGGCCACGCCGUAAAACACCCAACUUCUGAAUGUUGACCUCGAAUCAGGUAGGAAUACUCGCUGAACUUAAGCAUAUCAAUAAGCGGAGGA
RNAcentral lists this unclassified non-coding RNA (353 nucleotides) under soil metagenome. RNAcentral's name for it is "partial contains 5.8S ribosomal RNA, internal transcribed spacer 2, and large subunit ribosomal RNA". The stretch from base 1 to 120 matches the Rfam family "5.8S ribosomal RNA", at positions 35 to 154 of the family's 154-position model. The record is from RNAcentral.